RNAcentral lists this ribosomal RNA (253 nucleotides) under uncultured bacterium. RNAcentral describes it as "partial 16S ribosomal RNA". It matches the Rfam family "Bacterial small subunit ribosomal RNA", at positions 524 to 776 of the family's 1533-position model. The record is from RNAcentral.
UACGGGGGGGGCAAGCGUUGUUCGGAAUUACUGGGCGUAAAGGGCUCGUAGGCGGCCAACUAAGUCGGGCGUGAAAUCCCACGGCUCAACCGUGGAAGUGCACUCGAAACUGCAUAGCUAGAGUCCUGGAGAGGAAGGUGGAAUGCUUGGUGUAGAGGUGAAAUUCGUAGAUAUCAAGCGGAACACCGGUGGCGAAGGCGGCCUUCUGGACAGUGACUGACGCUGAGACGCGAAAGCGUGGGGAGCAAACAGG